Molecule: ribosomal RNA, 215 nt
Filed under: Glomeromycotina sp.
Lineage: Eukaryota; Fungi; Glomeromycota
Description: partial small subunit ribosomal RNA
Rfam family: Eukaryotic small subunit ribosomal RNA (bases 44-215)
Source: RNAcentral
GGGUCAGUAGGUUGGUCGUGCCACCGGUACGUACUGGUCUCACUGAUUCCUCCUUCCUGACGAACCGUAAUGCCAUUAAUUUGGUGUUGCGGGGAAACAGGACUGUUACUUUGAAAAAUUAGAGUGGUUAAAGCAGGCUAACGCUUGAAUACAUUAGCAUGGAAUAAUGAAAUAGGACGAUCGAUCCUAUUUUGUUGGUUUCUAGGAUUGACGUA